This 339-nucleotide ribosomal RNA is filed under the name Triticum aestivum (bread wheat). RNAcentral's name for it is "partial small subunit ribosomal RNA". The record is from RNAcentral. Lineage: Eukaryota; Viridiplantae; Streptophyta; Magnoliopsida; Poales; Poaceae.
AUGCUCUUCUACGACAAGAAAGAGAAUCUCUCCAAGUUAUGGGAUAUUCUAGCUGUGUACGCGUGGAUCGACAAAGAAGUCGGGUAUUGCCAAGCUCCUCCACCGCGUCAGCAGUCUACUCCAGCUCCUCCAAGUCAGCCACCGCCUCUGCAGACUCCUGCUCCUUCAAGUCCGCCAACGCGUGAGGCCACUCCUCCUCCUCCUCCAAGUCCAGCACCGUAUGAGCUCACUUCUCCUCCUCCAAGUCUGGCACCGCGUCAGCCCGGUCCUCCUCCUCCAAGUCAGGCACCGCGUAAGCCGUCUCCGCCGCCUAAGCAACAGCGGAACAGAGCCGACUAG